CGAGAAUCAAUCCAACCGAUGUCGCACGAUCUCUUUUGGGCCGAUCCAUUCCGCCGCAUCUUCUGGACCCCAACCGCCGUCCUCCGCUCGCCGAGGCCCUCCUCGACUCCGAUGGACUGGAUCGAAACCCCAACAUCUUACAUCCUCCGCUUCAACGUCCCCGGGUUUGGUAAGGAAGACAUCAAAGUGCAGCUAGAGGACGGCAACAUCCUUGAAGUCAGAGGCGAGGCGCGGAAGGAGGAAUCGGUGGCGAAGGAUGGGGAGUUGCGCGUGGCAGAGAGGGGGCCGAUCGCGGGGUUUGAGAGGCGGAUUGCGCUGCCUGAGGAUGUGAAGGUGGAGCAGAUUAAGGCGCAGGUGGAGAACGGGGUGCUUACUGUCGUGGUGCCGAAGGAGCCGCCGCCGGCGAAGAUGAGGCCCAGGACCAUCCCUGUAAUGAGCAAGCUCUGAUGAUUUUUAGAGGGGGACGAUGUAUAUUUUAGUGAUCUCGAAUAAACCGCUGCUUUGUUUGUGUUUCGGUUUGAUGUUUGUUUAUGGUUACAGAAUUGAUAUAAAAAAUAUGGAAACAAG
Molecule: unclassified non-coding RNA, 567 nt
Filed under: Hevea brasiliensis (rubber tree)
Lineage: Eukaryota; Viridiplantae; Streptophyta; Magnoliopsida; Malpighiales; Euphorbiaceae
Source: RNAcentral